GUAUUUUUGCGAAGUAGCUUCACAUUUUGGAAUAAUAUUUUCACUCAGGUUCCAAAUAUAUUCUCGUCCUCUCAGCUGAUCCUGUUUACAAUAACGUUCCGAGGAGGGAAGUCCUGCAAGAGGUCAAGUAGAGGUGAGAGAUGAGAUAGCAAACACCUGGAAAGGAAACAGCAAGAAUGAAGAUCACAGUAUGGAGUGUCUUGAGUGGCAAGGCCUCAGGCCACAUCAUCAUAAAUGUACCUGAAACUCUCACAAUUGGUGAUGUCCUGGAUAAGUUUUUAACUUUUAAGGGUGCUCAAAAAUACCCAGGUUAUGUAAUGCGCAGCAGUGACAACCUUGUGCUUGAUCCACACAAGACAUUAAAACAAUCAAGCCUUCAGGAUGGGGAAACUCUCACACUUGGCCUCUCAGACUUUUCUGCAGCACAGAAGGCCUCUACUUUCAGCUGGAGUGAUUGCCAGAUGUGCAAUGUAAGACAACUGAUAAAAAGGAGUCGUAUAUAUAGGGUUGUCAAGAAUGAUGAAGAGCAGACAUUCUCUUUUGGGAGCUGGUGGACUGUGACAAUUAUGUCACUCUUAAUUGGCAUUGUGGGCCUUGCAGUGAUUCUGUGGAUGUUCUUUGAGCCUGUCACUGCUCCUGAGAAGUUUGGUGUGGUAAUGGAUGCAGGAUCAUCGCACAGUGAAAUCUUCGUCUUCUCGUGGAGUGGUGACAAACCCCUUGGAACUGCUGACAUCAAGCUCAGGCAUAGGUGUUUUGUUGCAGGUGGUGUAAACAGCUUUGCGACGCAUGCAGAUGAUCUGGGUAGAUAUUUAGGAAAAUGUCUCAAAGUAGCUGAAACUCAAGUGCCAAGCCAUUUGCGAAAAGAAACCCCCAUCUACGUCGGGGCUACAGCUGGUAUGAGAAUCCUCAGGGACUUUGAUCCAGAAGGUGCUGUUGCCGUUCUAACAACACUAAGGGACUUCUUAGAGACAAACUCAACAUUUAAAGUACAACACAGAAACAUUGGAAUUAUACCAGGUUAUGAAGAAGGCACUAGUGGCUGGAUAGCAGUUAACUAUCUCAUUGGUACCCUGAAACAGGAAGAAACCUCUACGAAAGCUGCACUUGAUGUAGGUGGAGCUUCAGCUCAGAUAACUUCAGCUCUUAAGGAAAGUGGUAAUUGGACGACUAGGAACCUUACUCUUUUUAAUCAGACCCACAAUAUCCAAAGUCAGUCUUUCCUCUGCUAUGGGAUUGGACAAGCCCAGCACAGGCACAAUUUCCUCCUGGUGACUGAAGGGAAGGCUAUUGCAGGGGAUUCCUCCAAUCCAGAUAUUCCGGUGGACCCUUGCCUGCCAGUGGGAACAAGUCAUGAAAUAUCCGAAUUAGACUUAAAUGGUCCAUGCACACUCACUGGGGAUCAGAAACCCGAGUUGGCUUCGAUGACAAUAAUGAGCCAGAACAAAAUGAAGAAGAUUUUCAAAAAUUACUUAGGAAAAGGAGAGGAUGAGGAUUUUCCCACACUGCAAGAAAAAACAGUCAGCCCAGCAUCAGAAAUUCCAGGAAGUGACAAGAAGGUAGUAGUAGCACCACCUCAGGUCAUCAAGGGGUCCAGUGAUGCCAAGGAGUGUGAUCGGAAAAUUGGGCAGCUGUUCGAUCUGCAGUUCUGCAAGAAGACGUUCAGAUACGGUGACUGCAUGAAUGCACAGCUGGUACCUGCUGUGACAGGAGACUUGAUUGCAUUUUCUGGCCUCUUUUACCACCUGAUGCUGCUGUUACAAAUAGAACCAAACACCAGCUUGGAUGACUACAAGGUGGCUGUUGAUCGAGUGUGCUCACUGAAGUCGGAAGCCUUAUAUGCUGCCUAUCCGGGUGUGGACAAAGAUAUUGUGGAAGACUUGUGCUUCGAUGGCAUGUAUGUGUACAAACUCCUGACAGUUGGCCUGGGUAUCAACAAUUCAUCCUGGAGUAACAUAGACUUUACUCGUCAGGUGAAUGGCAUGGAUAUUGAGUGGCCUUUGGGCUUCAUGCUGAACCGGACCACCGGUUUCCCUCCUGCUUAUGCUGACCGUCCUCUGACUAUUUCAACAUUAUCAUUGUUGAUCAUACUCUUCUCAGCAUUCCUCUUCAGCGGCAUACUUUUCCUACGUCACUCCAUCAAAAUCAGGAGGCAUAGCGCCUCUUAUCAAAGGUGUGACUUUCACCAAGCAUAGAUGCAUUUGCAGUAUUUCUCAUGCCAUGCAACUAGCUGAUUAUUCUACUCUUUGCUGUAUGUAGCAGUUGGGGCCCAUUUCAAUGUAUUCACAACUUACAUAUAAUUGAACUUCAAAAUCAGUGAAAAUCCCUUGUAAUCAAAUUGUGACAAGUUCACGUCAAGAUAAUUACGUUAAGACCAAUCUGCACAACAUCAUUGUGAAUAUACAUUAUGCCUUAUAGUCUGAAGUUAAAAGGGAUUUAUCUUGUAGAGAGCUGCCAGUACAUCAACUUAGUAAAAGGAUGAUGAGAGAAAUUUGAUCGAAAAAGUAGUUCAUGCAAACAAGUACCUUAAAGUUUUAGGGGUUGUGAAUUUUGGUCAAGUGAUAGAACCUGUGAUAUAUAUAUAUAUAUAUGUAUCUAUAAAAUAUAUUGAAUUAUUUAUUGUCUUCUCUCUGUCAUCAAAGCUAAAGCAGUCCAGUGGAAAUGUGUAAUCUGCACACUAAUGCUUGCUAAUAUGCUAUUGCAUUUAUGUACAGUAUUUUCAAAGAUUGUACCUGAAUUCCAUCAACUUAUGUCAUCUCUGGAAGUGGUACUACUUAAGUGAUCAAUACAGUUGUGAAUCUCAUAUUAUAUAA
This 2810-nucleotide unclassified non-coding RNA is filed under the name Penaeus japonicus. RNAcentral describes it as "ectonucleoside triphosphate diphosphohydrolase 8- like, transcript variant X3". The record is from RNAcentral. Lineage: Eukaryota; Metazoa; Arthropoda; Malacostraca; Decapoda; Penaeidae.